CCCUUAGAUGUUCUGGGCCGCACGCGUGCUACACUGAGUGGAUCAGCGGGUCAGGUUGCGCGAAAGCGUUUCCUAAUCUUUAAAUCCGCUCGUGAUGGGGAUUGACGGUUGCAAUUUUCUGUCAUGAACGAGGAAUACCUUGUAAGCGCGGGUCAUCAUCCCGCGCUGAAUACGUCCCUGCCCUUUGUACACACCGCCCGUCGCUCCUACCGAUUGAAUGGUCCGGUGAAAUCUUCGGAUUGAGACUUUGAUUUCUUCACGGAAAACGCUGUUUUAAAAAGUUGAUUAAACCUUACCAUUUAGAGGAAGGUGAAGUCGUAACA
RNAcentral lists this ribosomal RNA (323 nucleotides) under uncultured eukaryote. RNAcentral describes it as "partial 18S ribosomal RNA". It matches the Rfam family "Eukaryotic small subunit ribosomal RNA", at positions 1470 to 1796 of the family's 1831-position model. The record is from RNAcentral.